This is a long non-coding RNA of Daucus carota subsp. sativus, 784 nucleotides long. RefSeq lists it as uncharacterized. NCBI's taxonomy places the organism in Eukaryota, Viridiplantae, Streptophyta, Magnoliopsida, Apiales, Apiaceae. The record is from RefSeq and is a predicted model, not a curated record. The transcript has 2 exons.
UUUGAUCCUGUGGCUCUCAAUUAAACAAAAUUGCAGUUUUAUUUCAAAUUUUGAAACAGAAAUACACAAAAGAGUAGAGUAGUUAUCCGUAUGCGUAUACUGCGGGUGCAUCAAAUCCCGCAACCCACUCCUCAAAAGUUGCAGUUGCAUGUAGUGCAGGAUUUUCUUCUCCAAGAUUGGUGUUUGAAAAGAUAUCGACUUUCAGUUGCAAGCGUAGGAUAAGUACGGAAGAAAAGCAAAGAACUAAUCGGAAGAUGAGUGGAGGUUGCAAGUAGCCGUUUAAUUGAAAGCCCCUGGGUUUUUAAUUUGCCAAAGAAGAGCCCAGUGUUUGUGAAUUUGGAGGAUGAUGUUGUGACAGACAAGACAGACGUAGUUGUUGGUGAUAAGAGGUCGUCCUUGAAGAGAGCAAGACAAAAGGUAACAGCUGUUAAUAAUUCUGAAUAACAGACGAUGAAUUCCAGCAGUAUAGAUGUUCGCAGUGAAAGGAUACACGGUAACAGGCUGAAAAGAAUGGAGUUAAGCAAGGAAGAAGAUGAAUUUGUUACUCCAGGGGAGAAUUUUGGCAGCAGUGGCAAGAAAGGGCAAUACCGAAGGGGAGUAUUUAAGUUGGAAGUGUAGAACAAUUAUCUUAGCAGUAAAUUUGGAUAGUCUGAAUUGUUCUGGAUGCUUGUUCUUUUUGUUUUUGUGAGAAUAUGCACAAGUUUAGUAAUUGUCACGCAACAUCAGUACCUUUUUUUAACUCUUUAUAUUAAAAAGCUGAAAGAUGUUCGUAACUUUGAGGACA